UACGAAGGGGGCUAGCGUUGCUCGGAAUCACUGGGCGUAAAGCGCACGUAGGCGGAUCUUUAAGUCAGGGGUGAAAUCCUGGAGCUCAACUCCAGAACUGCCUCUGAUACUGGGGAUCUUGAGUCCGGAAGAGGUAAGUGGAACUGCGAGUGUAGAGGUGAAAUUCGUAGAUAUUCGCAAGAACACCAGUGGCGAAGGCGGCUUACUGGUCCGGUACUGACGCUGAGGUGCGAAAGCGUGGGGAGCGAACAGG
This 253-nucleotide ribosomal RNA is filed under the name uncultured bacterium. Its description in RNAcentral is "partial 16S ribosomal RNA". It matches the Rfam family "Bacterial small subunit ribosomal RNA", at positions 524 to 776 of the family's 1533-position model. The record is from RNAcentral.